AUACGUAGGGGGCGAGCGUUGUCCGGAAUGAUUGGGCGUAAAGGGCGCGUAGGCGGCCUGUUAAGUCUGGAGUGAAAGUCCUGUUUUCAAGAUGGGAAUUGCUUUGGAUACUGAUGGGCUUGAGUGCAGGAGAGGUUAUCGGAAUUCCCGGUGUAGCGGUGAAAUGCGUAGAGAUCGGGAGGAACACCAGUGGCGAAGGCGGGUAACUGGACUGCAACUGACGCUGCGGCGCGAAAGUGUGGGGAGCAAACAGGAUUAGAUACCCUGGUAGUCCACACUGUAAACGAUGAAUGCUAGGUGUAAGAGGUAUCGACCCCUUUUGUGCCGGAGUUAACACAAUAAGCAUUCCGCCUGGGGAGUACGGCCGCAAGGUUGAAACUCAAAGGAAUUGACGGGG
This 397-nucleotide ribosomal RNA is filed under the name uncultured bacterium. RNAcentral's name for it is "partial 16S ribosomal RNA". It matches the Rfam family "Bacterial small subunit ribosomal RNA", at positions 523 to 918 of the family's 1533-position model. The record is from RNAcentral.